ACUCCAUCAUCCACCAUUAUAUAUAAAAUAUAUUGAGUUUUCAAAAAUAAUUUUAAAAAAAAUCAAUAGCUUAAAAUAGAAGCUUUCAUUUUCCUCCAAAAAACUCCGAUUCCGGCCACUUUUUCGGCGUUAUUUUCCGGCGACCAGCUUUAAAUCAGUCCACAAACAUCAUAACCUUGUCCAUUGCAUUGCAUUCAUUGUUACCCCAUUUGUUUUCUAUCUUCUCAAACACACUUUUCACCAUUGUUAAAAAGUUUAAAUCACUCACAUUACUCAAAACCACUUUAGAAAGUAUAUUACAACAGC
Molecule: long non-coding RNA, 306 nt
Filed under: Capsicum annuum
Lineage: Eukaryota; Viridiplantae; Streptophyta; Magnoliopsida; Solanales; Solanaceae
Description: long non-coding RNA (CANN_LNC009523)
Source: RNAcentral